CCUACGGGAGGCAGCAGUGGGGAAUAUUGCACAAUGGGGGAAACCCUGAUGCAGCGACGCCGCGUGAGUGAAGAAGUAUUUCGGUACGUAAAGCUCUAUCAGCGGGGACGAAAAAAAGUCCUUUGGACUUUGGACGGUACCUGACUAAGAAGCCCCGGCUAACUACGUGCCAGCAGCCGCGGUAAUACGUAGGGGGCAAGCGUUAUCCGGAUUUACUGGGUGUAAAGGGAGCGUAGACGGCAGGGCAAGUCUGGAGUGAAAUGCCGGGGCCCAACCCCGGAACUGCUUUGGAAACUGGCGGGCUAGAGAGCAGGAGAGGGCGGUGGAACUCCAUGUGUAGCGGUAAAAUGCGUAGAUAUAUGGAAGAACACCAGUGGCGAAGGCGGCCGCCUGGCCUGUUAACUGACGCUGAGGCACGAAAGCGUGGGGAGCAAAUAGGAUUAGAUACCCGAGUAGUC
Molecule: ribosomal RNA, 458 nt
Filed under: uncultured bacterium
Lineage: Bacteria
Description: partial 16S ribosomal RNA
Rfam family: Bacterial small subunit ribosomal RNA
Source: RNAcentral